CUCCAGACUGGGCAACAGAGCAAGACGCUGUCUCAAAAAAAAAAAGAAAAAGAAAAAGAGAAAAGAGCGACACAAUCCCAUCGCACAUCUGUUAGAACAGCUACGGUUUCUUUAAUGGCAAUACCAAAUGUUGAUGAGGACGGAGAACAAAUGGAUCUCUCAUACAUUAUUGGUGGGAAUGCAAAAUGGCGCAACCACUUAGGAAAACAGUUUCUCAAAAAGCUGAACAUCCUCUUACCAUAUGAUCCAAAUAGGAAUGAAACUUAUGUCUACACGAAAACCAGCACACAUGUUUAUAGCAGCUCUGCUCACUACUGCCAAAUACUAGAAGCAGUCGCAAUGUUCUGCGCUAGGUGAUUGGAUAAACAAACUGGUACAUCUGUGCGGUGAAAUACAGCUCCGCCGUAGAAAGGAAUGAAAGGGAGAAAACAAAAGGAAUGAACCGUUAAUAUACACAGAAACUUGGAUUGAUCUCAGACAUUAUUCUGAGAAAAAUCCAGUCUCAAGGUUAUAUAAAGUAUAAUUACAUUUAUUAUUACAUUCUCAAAAAGCCAAAGCCUUAUUGUUGCAGAACAGAUGAGUGGUUGCCAGGGGCUGGGGUGGGAGACUGUGUGACUCCAGAGGGGCAGCACUUGGGAGUUUGGGGAGUGGUGGAACUGUUCUGUAUCCUAAUUGUGGUGGAGCUGAAACUCUGCAUGUUAAAACUCACAAGAGUUAAUUUUACUGUGUGUUAAUCUUAAAAAGAAGUUCAGCCAGCAAAAGUAUGCAAAAGUCAUCCUUUCCUUACAAGAUUUGCUUCAUUUGUGCCCUUGCUGGCGUUGCAUCCAAGUUGCAGCACUUGGAGCAGGCAAGGCAGGGGGCCGAGGAGCGGAGCCACAAGCUGCAGCAGGAGCUCGGCGGGAGGAUCGGCGCCCUGCAGCUGCAGCUCUCCCAGCUGCACGAGCAAUGCUCAAGCCUAGAGAAAGAAUUGAAAUCAGAAAAAGAGCAAAGACAAGCUCUUUAGCACGAAUUACAGCACAAGAAAGACACUUCCUCUCUACUCAGAACAGAGCUACAACAAUGGAACGAUUGCCAAAGGUGAGGUGGGCCAGCCUGGGAGAGGAGAGCUUCUGGCAGCCCCAGAAGCCCCUACCGUGCUCCUGGCAGGCUCCUCUCCCUGCCCCCUUUGUGUGGGAGUCAGGCAGCUCCAGGGUGCAGGGAGGCUGUUCCUCGCCUAGGGAGUUCCUGUUUUAGGAGCUUAAGGCAAAGACAAAGUAUAAGCCACUAAGCCUGCUGACCAGCUCAGAUAAAGGUGAGUGCCAUGAAGACAAUAAAACAGAACAGUGUCCUCGCUCGCCUGUGUGCAGGGGUCUGGGGAGGGAGUGGUUGGUGCGCAAAGGCCCCAGUGAGUGAUGCCCUGCAAAGCACCUCUGGAACAGAGACUGCAGGAGCAGACAGGAGUGUGAGGAGCAAAGGGGAGGCCUUAGGCGGCAGGCAGGAGGGAGCCCUUCACAGGCCCUGUGAGCCGGGGGAGGAACGUGAGUGUUAUUCUGAACACGAUGGGAAGCUGCUGGAGGGACAGGAUCCAUUUCAUUCGCGGACAGUCAUUGGCUACUGCGUGGAGAGUGGGUGGUAGGCUUGCAGGAGAGGAAGCUGGGAGGAACCAGUAAACAUCUUCGACCACGUGCCAGUCCUCACCUCAGCCACUCUGCCCAAGGUCAGGUCAUCCCUGGGAAGCAGAUUGACACUGCCCUCCACUUCCUCAACAUCACCUCAGUCCCCUGGAACACCCUCUCACUUAGAGGCAUGGCCUGGAUGCUGUGGGCUUCAGAGGGCGAGAGAAGUAGGGUCCAGCAGGCCUUCACCGUCUGGCUGUGGAGUUGGACCUCCCAGGAAACUCCGAGGCAGUGUGAAACAUUUGCCCUAAUGUAAAAUCAUCGGCUGUCUUUCCAGAGGGGAGGAGGCUCUGUGAUCCUGGACAGAGCUGACUGCAGCCCAGGGCGCUAUGGGGGGCUCCUCCCUUGUGGGGAUGGGCUGCCCUCUUCUCAGGCCCCUGCACUGCUGAGUGCUGCAGCACAACUGAGCCCAAACUGAACUCUCAGCACCUUCCCAGGAGGGGCCUUCAGGGCUGGAAUGACUUCUGGACCUGGAUUUUGUUGCAUUGAACAUGGUAAUGGACACCACUGCACGAGUCGAGUGAGUCAGGAAAGGCCCUUUUGAUUUCUAGUGGAAAGUGCCUGGAGUUGUUGGGGAAGGGAGAGCUUCCUCAAGAGCCAGGUCAGGCUUGGAGAGUGGAAGGGAGGAAAUGGAGGGCAGAAGAGGACUUUUAGAAAGUUCUGCCUCAUCCCGGGGCAUACCUCCUUUAUUCUGCU
Sapajus apella (tufted capuchin) is the source of this 2351-nucleotide long non-coding RNA. RefSeq lists it as uncharacterized. The record is from RefSeq and is a predicted model, not a curated record. The transcript is spliced from 2 exons. Lineage: Eukaryota; Metazoa; Chordata; Mammalia; Primates; Cebidae.